This 469-nucleotide ribosomal RNA is filed under the name Leptosphaeria sp. OT2-256. RNAcentral's name for it is "eukaryotic LSU rRNA". The stretch from base 121 to 274 matches the Rfam family "5.8S ribosomal RNA". Lineage: Eukaryota; Fungi; Ascomycota; Dothideomycetes; Pleosporales; Leptosphaeriaceae. The record is from RNAcentral.
CCUGCAUAUACCCAUGUUUUUUGCGUACUACUUGUUUCCUUGGUGGGCCUAGCCCGCCAAUAGGACAACUCCAACACCUUUUGCAAUUGCAGUCAGCGUCAGAAAAAACAUAAUAAUUACAACUUUCAACAACGGAUCUCUUGGUUCUGGCAUCGAUGAAGAACGCAGCGAAAUGCGAUAAGUAGUGUGAAUUGCAGAAUUCAGUGAAUCAUCGAAUCUUUGAACGCACAUUGCGCCCCUUGGUAUUCCAUGGGGCAUGCCUGUUCGAGCGUCAUUUGUACCCUCAAGCUCUGCUUGGUGUUGGGUGUUUGUCCCGCAGUUUUUCACGUGGACUCGCCUUAAAGCAAUUGGCAGCCGGCAUAUUGGCCUGGAGCGCAGCACAUUUUGCGCCCCUUGCCCUGAAUGUUGGCAUCCAUCAAGCCCAUUUAUUUGCUCUUGACCUCGGAUCAGGUAGGGAUACCCGCUGAAC